Molecule: ribosomal RNA, 327 nt
Filed under: uncultured eukaryote
Lineage: Eukaryota
Description: partial 18S ribosomal RNA
Rfam family: Eukaryotic small subunit ribosomal RNA
Source: RNAcentral
CCCUUAGAUGUUCUGGGCCGCACGCGCGUUACACUGAUGCAUUCAACGAGUCCUUCCUUGGCCGAGAGGCCUGGGCAAUCUUUUGAACGUGCAUCGUGAUAGGGAUAGAUUAUUGCAAUUAUUAAUCUUGAACGAGGAAUUCCUAGUAAACGCAGUUCAUCAAACUGCAUUGAUUACGUCCCUGCCCUUUGUACACACCGCCCGUCGCUCCUACCGAUUGAAUGGUCCGGUGAAGCGUUCGGACCGUGGCCUUUGGACGGUUCGCCGUCUGUUGGCUGCGGGAAGUUCGUUAAACCUUAUCAUUUAGAGGAAGGAGAAGUCGUAACA